This 300-nucleotide ribosomal RNA is filed under the name uncultured bacterium. RNAcentral's name for it is "bacterial SSU rRNA". It matches the Rfam family "Bacterial small subunit ribosomal RNA", at positions 211 to 507 of the family's 1533-position model. The record is from RNAcentral.
UUUAUCGGUGUACGAUGGGGAUGCGUUCCAUUAGGUAGUAGGCGGGGUAACGGCCCACCUAGCCUACGGAUGGAUAGGGGUUCUGAGAGGAAGGUCCCCCACAUUGGAACUGAGACACGGUCCAAACUCCUACGGGAGGCAGCAGUGAGGAAUAUUGGUCAAUGGACGAGAGUCUGAACCAGCCAAGUAGCGUGAAGGAUGAAGGUCCUACGGAUUGUAAACUUCUUUUAUAAGGGAAUAAAACCUCCCACGUGUGGGAGCUUGUAUGUACCUUAUGAAUAAGCAUCGGCUAACUCCGUG